UACAGAGGGUGCAAGCGUUAAUCGGAAUUACUGGGCGUAAAGCGUGCGUAGACGGUUACGUAAGUCGGGUGUGAAAGCCCCGGGCUCAACCUGGGAAUUGCAUUCGAGACUGCAUAGCUAGGGUGCGGAAGAGGGAAGCGGAAUUUCCGGUGUAGCGGUGAAAUGCGUAGAUAUCGGAAGGAACACCAGUGGCGAAAGCGGCUUCCUGGUCCAGCACCGACGUUCAGGCACGAAAGCGUGGGGAACAAACAGG
RNAcentral lists this ribosomal RNA (253 nucleotides) under uncultured bacterium. Its description in RNAcentral is "partial 16S ribosomal RNA". It matches the Rfam family "Bacterial small subunit ribosomal RNA", at positions 524 to 776 of the family's 1533-position model. The record is from RNAcentral.